UAUACUACUAGUAGCCAAUCUCAGUCACCAACCAAGAUUAAUAAAGAACCCUUCCAUGCAAUCCACAGAUACAUAGUUACAAAACCACUCUUAAAAUCAAAAAUAAAAUUCUCAAAUAUUUUGACAAAAAGAAUGAUAAAGAUUAACAAGUCACUAACAAUAAAAAAAAGUAGAAUUAACAGAAAUAUAGAAAAGCAAAGAUUAGCAAAUCACAAAGUUUCAACAACAUAGGGGGCAUUUUACAAUUAGUCGCAAACACCUGGUCCUUUGAGAUUCAACAUCCCAAUGGGUAUAUCCUCCAUCAUUCUCGAUUUGACAUAUUCGACGAAGGACGAGUGCAUGUGAGGGAGAUGGGUGGCAUCGACACAACGAGAUGAAGGAGAUUUGGCUUUGGGCGAUGAAAUCCCUAGAUUCAGAGGAGAGACUAGCAACAAUGGAUGGGACGUGGAGAUUUGGAAAGUAUGACAAAGGAGGAGGAGGAGGCAUGAGAGGGAUGGACUUUUGGUGAGCAGAUUAGAAAGUGAUGGUGAAGGCGUGAACUGAGAUG
Molecule: long non-coding RNA, 547 nt
Filed under: Manihot esculenta (cassava)
Lineage: Eukaryota; Viridiplantae; Streptophyta; Magnoliopsida; Malpighiales; Euphorbiaceae
Description: long non-coding RNA (MESC_LNC012370)
Source: RNAcentral